GAGACACCCCUAUGGAGCAGGCCUUGCUUUAGUGGGGCUUUGGUGCUGACUGAGUCUGCCCCUUGAGUGUGUCGCU
This 76-nucleotide microRNA precursor is filed under the name Myotis brandtii (Brandt's bat). Its description in RNAcentral is "mir-9229 microRNA precursor family". It matches the Rfam family "mir-9229 microRNA precursor family". The record is from Rfam by way of RNAcentral. Lineage: Eukaryota; Metazoa; Chordata; Mammalia; Chiroptera; Vespertilionidae.